RNAcentral lists this unclassified non-coding RNA (2310 nucleotides) under Hevea brasiliensis (rubber tree). Lineage: Eukaryota; Viridiplantae; Streptophyta; Magnoliopsida; Malpighiales; Euphorbiaceae. The record is from RNAcentral.
AUUUUCCACCAGGGUGAGAGCUGCUGGGCCUGGAUGGCAUUUUGGGGAUUAAUUGGUUAUUUGAAGAUGGACAGACGGUGCAACCUAAAAAGCCCGACCAGGCGACUAUAAAUAACCCUGUUCUGUGAGGAUGAUCGGUAAACAGAGGCAAAAGAGAAAGCGGGAAAAAAAAUAGAAAAGUAAAAAUGUUGGCCACAGCAUAUCCUGGUCCUGAACGUGCGAAUUCAGUCAAGGAAAAUUUGCUUCCAGUGGACACAACCUCCCCAGUGCUGACGGUAUUGGUGGGAUUAGCUGGAUCAGACCUCCACCCGAUUCAACGUAAUCUCUCGGCAAGAUGUUAUGGUGAGGUUGAUCACAGAGGAUAAAGCCCUAAAACCCUCAACCGAAGUGCACUACGCUACCGUUUCUGCCACUCCCUCUGGUUUGCCGUACCAGACGAACAAACAAGCAAGCGGAAAUGGAGGCGACGGUGAUGGAAGUGGAGCAUUCAAACUCAAAUUCGAUCAAGCGAUUUGGACUCAAAAACUCUAUCCAAACUAACUUCGGUGACCACUACGUUUUCCAAAUCGUCCCCAAGGAUGAUUGGUCUUCAAUGGCGGUUUCGCUAUCCACCAACGCGGUGAAGCUCUACUCUCCGAUGACAGGUCAGUACCAAGGAGAGUUCAAAGGUCAUUAUGAUACCAUCAAUCAAAUUGCUUUCUCUAAUUCGUCGACCCCGCACGUCUUGUACUCUUGCUCUUCUGAUGGCACCAUAAGAGCUUGGGACACCAGAACUUUCCGCCAGGUGUCGUGUAUGAGUGCCGGUUCUUCUCAAGAGAUCUUCAGCUUCUCAUUUGGAGGCUCCAGUGAUAAUCUUCUUGCUGCUGGGUCUAAAUCUCAGGUUUUAUGAUUUUCAACUGGUUAUCUUUUCAAUCGAUGUCUUUUUCUUCUAAUUGUUUUUAAAAAAAUUUUAAUAGUCUGUGCUGGUUGUUCAUAAUGCGACAUUUCUUUGGUUAGCUUCAGUAAUUGUCUUCUCAAGGGAUGAGCGCUAUGUGCUACCAUUAACUGUUUGUUAUAGUCUAUAGAAACUUUGAUACACGACAUUGUUAGCUUCAGUAUUGUCUUCUCAAGGGAUGAGCGUUAUGUACGACCAUUAACUGUUUGCUAUAGUCUUUAGAAACUUUGAUACACGACUGUAUGUUGAUGCGAGUUCGUUGUUCACUCAGAUACUUUUCUGGGAUUGGAGGAAUGAGAAACAAGUUGCAUGUCUGGAAGAUUCGCACACGGAAGAUGUUACUCAGGUCCACUUUGUCCAUGGCCGCCGAAACAAGCUUCUUUCUGCUUCUGUAGACGGAUUGAUGUGUAUUUUUAAUACUGAUGGGGAUAUCAAUGAUGAUGAUCAUCUGGAAUCAGUAAGUGCAGGUGAUUAAUGUGGGAACUUCAAUUGGGAAAGUGGGAUUUUUUGGUGAGAACUAUCGAAGGCUUUGGUGUUUGACACAUAUUGAAAGCUUAAGGUAUCAGUUGGUGUCUUCCUGGUGCUCAUGGGAAACGAGUUUUAUUCUGUUGUUGUCCAUUACAAAAUAUGAGCAUAUCACAAUCAAAGAAUAUGGUUCUCUUUAUUCUUUGCAUCUGUUAUAAAUUUUUGCCCUUCUUUUGAAAAAAAAAACUACAGCAUUUGGGACUGGAAGGAUGAGAAAAAUGAAGCAAACUUGCAGGAAGCUCGCUCCUUAGCAUCUGACUGCUGGUCCUUAGAUCAUGUUGAUUAUUUUAUUGAUUGUCAUCACUCAGGAGAAGGUGAAAGUUUAUGGGUGAUUGGUGGAACUAAUGGUGGUGCAUUAGGCUAUUUUCCUGUAAAUUAUAGAGCAGGGACAAUAGGAUCACCGGAAGCAAUUCUUGGGGGUGGGCAUACGGGUGUUGUUAGGAGUGUAUUGCCGAUGUCAAGCAUGAAGCAUGGACUUGCCCAAAGUCGAGACAUUUUUGGAUGGACUGGCGGUGAAGAUGGCCGCUUAUGUUGCUGGUCAUCUGAUGAUUCUACAACGAUAAAUCGCGCUUGGAUUUCAGGUGCACUGGUUAUGAGAUCCUCAAAAUCCCGCAAGAAAAAGAGGCAUCUACCUUAUUAACAGAAUGAUGUGUUAAAAAAUUUAUAUGUUCUCUAUGUUCUUUUCAGAGUUAUUUUAAAAAAUUUUAAUUUUCUCCCUCUAUUUUUCAGAUUUAUCUUCCAAUUUUGCAGCAACGAGCAUGCUUCUUUUGCAACUUUUUGGUCCAUAGGAUGUUAUGAAUUAUUUAUACAGUUAAAUGGAUUGGAAAAAUGAAACGCCUACACAUUUUGAC